Molecule: ribosomal RNA, 292 nt
Filed under: uncultured eukaryote
Lineage: Eukaryota
Description: partial 18S ribosomal RNA
Rfam family: Eukaryotic small subunit ribosomal RNA
Source: RNAcentral
GGUUGAUCCUGCCAGUAAUCAUAUGCUUGUCUUAAAGACUAAGCCAUGCAAGUCUAAGGAUAAACACUUUUAUCGUAAACCUGCAAACGGCUCAUUAAAUCAGUUUCAAUCUACUCGGUUAUAUAAUUCUACUUGGAUAACUGUAGUAAUUCUAGAGCUAAUACAUGCAAAAAACCCGAACGUAAGAACGGGUGUAAAUAUUUGACUUUUAAAAUCAAUACAGGCAUUCAACUCUGGUUAGUAACUUUUCCAGGGGUCUGUUAUUUAAAAUGACUAAAAAUACAAUUACGAA